CGCCAUAUUGUUUUAAUAGUUUAAUACAUUGUGAAAGCUUUAACCUUUUAGGUAGGUUUUAAACAAUAUUUUAGCGUCAAUCAUACCUAAUGUUAGCAUGACAGAUAUGGAAUAAUAUGCAUUAAAAUCUAUAAGGAGUAUUCCAUAUCUGGCAUUGUAUGCAUUAUGGUUUAUUUUUGCAUUUCUUCCGAUCUGGCAUUAUGGGCGGUAAAGCAAAACUCGAGUCUUGUUCAUUCCUAUGGAUGGGAAAUGCUCGCACUGCAAUGCAAUAAAAUUCCAUGCGGUAAGGGGUUAAAUUAUGUAUUUUUAUUUCAUUGGUACUUGAUUAUAAAAAGUUAAAUCACAAUAAUCAAUUAUUGUAAUGGAUUCACUAGUCGGUUACGGUAGCGAUGAUGACAUUGAAACUGAACGCUAUGGACACCAAGCAUCGGUAAGUGUAUGCACUUGAUGCAUAAUUUUUCUAGGUAUUAUUGAGCAAUAUGUUUGAACAUUAAAUUUUUAUGUGUUUAGUUUUUGUUUUUCACUCUCAUUAAAUAAUAUAAAUGUAUUAUGUUUUGAUAUGGAAGUCUUUACUCUUUUAACUAUAAUCAGUCCAAUGCAGCAAUGGUUUAUUAUACGUACAUUACUACCUUGAUUUACUAUUUCCAAGAAAUUAUCAUAUUUGAAGUAAUUUCAAAUCUCUAUUAGUAUUUCUCAUUAUGUGAUUUUCAAGAAUUUGAUAUUAAUUAAUUUCUCUGCUUGACAAUAGACUAAUAUUAUAGUAGAAGAGAAGAUUACACUAACUAUGAUCAAGUCAACAUGGAUCUAAGUGAGUCAAAAACGAUCUGCGUGGCGUCAAGAUGUCCCUAUCCCUCUAGUGACUUUACCAUGUAAGUACGUAGAGUUAAGAAAGACAUGUUUAAUCCAUUCAUUAUUAUUGCUCUUGCCCCUAUUAAUAUUAUUGUAAAGGCUUCUUGUAUCUGGGUCUACAAAUAAAUAUCGUUUAAGAAUUCUUCAACCAUAUGUUAACAACAAAUUUGAUAUAAGAAACUUAAUUAAACAAAACAAGGUAAAGUAGAUAAUAUAGGUAAUGCACAUAUAAUAAAAAGUCUCAUGCCAUGAUCAACAUUGUAGGAUAUUAAAGUAGAAAAUGACUGAUGAUGUUUGUCGUAGGAUUCCCAAGGAAAAGAGUCUGAGCCAGAAUUGCCGCAGGCUGAGUCACGGGUUUUACGGCAGACAUCUGGAGAGGACCAGUCAAGCUCUACUGACAGUCGAGAUGCAGAGCGCCCACGAGAGUAUGGCAAAGAACGUGAGCGCGACCGUGACCGUGAUCGCGAUGGAAAGCGAGACAAGCGCCGCGAAUCACCGCGGAAGGAUCGGGAACGCUCUGAAAGAGAUCGUCGCUCACCACGUAAAGAUGAUAAAUACAGAUCGUAGUCAAAGGCCUCGUGAUGCACCACGUUGAGGAUUACUUGGCGACAGACCAGACGAUAAACACUCGUCUACUGAUAGCAAGAUGCCAGCAUUAAUGGAUCUUAAACCAUUUGGAAGUGACGGGCUGACCAAGUUAAAAUCACAAGACGCUCGUGACGCUGUAUCUCCCAGGUUUGUUGAUCGUCGGGAACGUGAUCAUGACCGAGAGCGUGAUCGUGGACGCGACCGUGACUCUGAGUGUGACCGCGAACGAGAACGCGAUUAUGAUGGCAGACACAACAGACGUUCUGAAGAUAGACGGUCAUCUGGACGCGACAGAGGCAGCGAGAGGUCUCGAUCACGUGGUCACGCCUAUCCUCCCCCACACACGUCAAAUGAACGAAGAUCACCCUCAUCUGGUGACUACAGAACGUCUUCAUACAAAAUCAAUAAGAAGCUCGAGGUUAUGGAAAAAAUGGGUAAAUUAUUACACGCUUUAUAUUAGCUUCACCUGUAUGUAUGUAUGUAUGUAACCGACUCUUUCGGACUCGAUUUUGACCCACUUUAAACGGACAGAUUUAAUUCAAACUUUGUAU
This is an RNA transcript of Pieris napi, 1988 nucleotides long. It is a transcript of the gene named splicing factor U2af large subunit B-like, with no coding region annotated. The record is from RefSeq and is a predicted model, not a curated record. The transcript has 8 exons. NCBI's taxonomy places the organism in Eukaryota, Metazoa, Arthropoda, Insecta, Lepidoptera, Pieridae.